GUUGACCUCGGAUCAGGUAGGGAUACCCGCUGAACUUAAGCAUAUCAAUAAGCGGAGGAAAAGAAACCAACAGGGAUUGCUCUAGUAACGGCGAGUGAAGCAGCAAUAGCUCAAAUUUGAAAUCUGGCGUCUUCGGCGUCCGAGUUGUAAUUUGUAGAGGAUGCUUCUGGGCAGCCACCGACCUAAGUUCCUUGGAACAGGACGUCAUAGAGGGUGAGAAU
RNAcentral lists this ribosomal RNA (221 nucleotides) under Cladosporium halotolerans. Its description in RNAcentral is "partial 28S ribosomal RNA". It matches the Rfam family "Eukaryotic large subunit ribosomal RNA", at positions 1 to 219 of the family's 3401-position model. Lineage: Eukaryota; Fungi; Ascomycota; Dothideomycetes; Cladosporiales; Cladosporiaceae. The record is from RNAcentral.